CAGGCUUAUUGCGUAUCUCAUUUGACGUUUCAUAGUGAUGAUAACUUUGCACGGUGCUCAACGAUUUCUUGUCAAACCAUGUUUUUCGUAUUGGCUAUUCUCAGUUAUCAACUGAAAUGACAUCAUGAGCACCAAAUCCACUUGAAAGCCACCGUAACAGAUUUGACAGGUGUUUUUGUAUCGAUAGUUUUUAAAAUGGUAUUCCGUAAGCAAAGUGACCAUCAAAAGGUUGAUCACUAUAUUAUUAAAAACUGCUUUGAAAGGAACUAGUAUUGAGCAGUGUUUUAUAAAUUCUCAGUGAUCGACACUAUAAUCCGGAUAAGUUAAAUAUUAAAAAUAUAUAAACGGGACAUAUGAAGAAUAGCACGUAUAUGAUUUAACGUCUUAUUUCUAGUGUUUUUACACUGUAAGUAACAAAAAAUAUGUAAGGAUUUUUUAAGUAUAAAUACAUAGCCAUUUUAUUUUUUCCAAACGGUUUUUAGUGAACAAUAAAAGCGUAGGGAACCAUAUAAUUUAUAAAGAAUGGCCCGUGCUUUUUUUACUUGGAUUUGUGGAAGAAGUAUUGAAAUUUUAAUUAUUGAAAUAUGUCCCAGCCAACAUUGAGUAAAUGUUUGCAUGAUGUUACAAAUACAUUUAACACCCAAGAAAUACUUUAUAAGUAUAUCAAAUUCCAUAUGACCCAAAGAGAAAUCAUAAUACCAGACUUAGUGUAAAAUUUGGUUUUCUUGAGUCCUUGGCUGCAUUGAUGGAACUCUACUAGAAAUAUUGCAAUAAUCAGACCCACUAACCAUGAAGAAACAAUUCUUAAUAGGAAAUAUUUUCAUUCAUUGAAUGUAUUAAUAUUAUGUGAUUCCAAAUUAAACAUAAUGUAUGUGGAUGCAUCAUGCGCAAUGGCCCUGGAUGAUGACACCAAUAUUAGGAGCAGGGCCCGGGACACCUGAAGAAUACUAUUGCAACCUUCAUUGCUGUAUCAGGAAUAC
This is a long non-coding RNA of Zerene cesonia (dogface butterfly), 980 nucleotides long. RefSeq lists it as uncharacterized. Lineage: Eukaryota; Metazoa; Arthropoda; Insecta; Lepidoptera; Pieridae. The record is from RefSeq and is a predicted model, not a curated record. The transcript is spliced from 3 exons.